Molecule: transfer RNA, 67 nt
Filed under: Pristimantis fenestratus (Rio Mamore robber frog)
Lineage: Eukaryota; Metazoa; Chordata; Amphibia; Anura; Strabomantidae
Description: tRNA-Tyr
Rfam family: tRNA
About the family: Transfer RNA (tRNA) molecules are approximately 80 nucleotides in length. Their secondary structure includes four short double-helical elements and three loops (D, anti-codon, and T loops).
Source: RNAcentral
GGUAAAAUGACCGAGUAGGUGGCGGCUUGUAGUUCCGAAAACAGGGGUUAAAGUCCCCUUUUUACCA